RNAcentral lists this long non-coding RNA (273 nucleotides) under Vigna radiata. RNAcentral describes it as "long non-coding RNA (VRAD_LNC001288)". The record is from RNAcentral. Lineage: Eukaryota; Viridiplantae; Streptophyta; Magnoliopsida; Fabales; Fabaceae.
GUUGAACCGACAUACAAAGGUGUUUCUGCAUCAGUCGACAUCGUCUCAUACACAUGAGCUUUGGCAAAAUUUUCUGCACCAACAUCGCGGAUCAUGUCCUCUAAUUUGUCUUCAUCUGGUCAAUCUUCUUCCAUGGUGGAAUCAAUAACGUUUUCAGUUUGCGAGUCAGUCGGAAAGUGCAUUUCUUCGUCGUGCCAUAUCCAUGUUGUAUAGCAUCUUAGGAAACCAUCACAGAUAAGAUGUUCUCUAAUUUGGGUUGCGUUCAACUUUCUC